GAAACAUGAAGGCAGCACGAGGCUGUGGAAUCGCUGGAGGCGUUGACCAACGGUGCAAGCCAAGCUAGUGUGGAUACAUAAAAUUUACAACCGUACAGGGUCAUGGUUAUUAGGAAGACUGACCUGAUUUCCUGACGUUGGAAGACGCUAAGAUCUGAUGAUGCCUGUAAAGAAGGUGAUGUGGCUGCUGUCCAAGGGGCUAAAGGCUUCCCAGGGUUCGGGACAGGAGGAAGCCCUGGCAGCACUACAUGGAGCAGGGGCAGCUGUCUCUGGUCCUCCACUACCCCUCCAGGCAACAUUGUUUUGCGAUAUGGUGGCGGCCGCGUUGUCCCUGAGGGAUGGAAGGGAAAAGAGCCCGGAUAAGCAGCAGGGAUGUGGCGGUGGGAAGUUUGUUAAACUAUAAUUAUUUACCCUAUAUAACUUCCCAUGGAUUCCAUUCUAAAGUGCGUAAUCUUUUCCUGAACUAUGGAGCCUGGGCAGGUGAAAGCAAUAGGGCAGAAAACUCACCAUUUGACCAGUGAAAUUACAAAGGAAGGGUUGAAUGAUGUGGCUUGCAGUGUGUGGACUGAACCUUUGUUUAACCUAAGAGUUACAACUGUGUAAAAAGCAAGUGGGGUUUUGCAUGUGGCUGAUGUAAAUGCCUAAACCUACUUUCUAUUUGCAUGUUUAUUUCUAAAACUGAUUGUUCAAGACAAUAAAUGACUGCUGCA
Long non-coding RNA from Anguilla anguilla (European eel), 710 nucleotides. RefSeq lists it as uncharacterized. NCBI's taxonomy places the organism in Eukaryota, Metazoa, Chordata, Actinopteri, Anguilliformes, Anguillidae. The record is from RefSeq and is a predicted model, not a curated record. The transcript is spliced from 4 exons.